Molecule: transfer RNA, 89 nt
Filed under: Acidobacteriota bacterium
Lineage: Bacteria; Pseudomonadati; Acidobacteriota
Also listed under: 2 other names
Description: Acidobacteria bacterium tRNA-Ser
Rfam family: tRNA
About the family: Transfer RNA (tRNA) molecules are approximately 80 nucleotides in length. Their secondary structure includes four short double-helical elements and three loops (D, anti-codon, and T loops).
Source: RNAcentral
GGAGGGGUCGCAUAGUGGCCUAGUGCACCCGCCUGCUAAGCGGGAGGGCUGAAAGGCCCACGCGGGUUCGAAUCCCGCUCCCUCCGCCA